UACGUAGGGUGCGAGCGUUAAUCGGAAUUACUGGGCGUAAAGCGUGCGCAGGCGGUUAUGUAAGACAGGUGUGAAAUCCCCGGGCUUAACCUGGGAACUGCAUUUGUGACUGCAUAGCUAGAGUACGGUAGAGGGGGAUGGAAUUCCGCGUGUAGCAGUGAAAUGCGUAGAUAUGCGGAGGAACACCGACGGCGAAGGCAAUCCCCUGGACCUGUACUGACGCUCAUGCACGAAAGCGUGGGGAGCAAACAGG
This 253-nucleotide ribosomal RNA is filed under the name uncultured bacterium. RNAcentral's name for it is "partial 16S ribosomal RNA". It matches the Rfam family "Bacterial small subunit ribosomal RNA", at positions 524 to 776 of the family's 1533-position model. The record is from RNAcentral.